UUUGGUGUCAUUGUUACUCUCUUGUGUUAUUAUUAUUUGUUGUGGAUAUUAUUCAUGUGCGGGAUUAUUUAUUUGAUCCCAACAAGUAGUUUGUUUGCAUCAGUGUAUGGAUUUUGAUGUCUCAUAGGCAAUAGAGAGGAGGAAGAAGUGGUAGUGAAGCAGAAGAACAACGGUGUGCUUAAGAUUAAGCUUAAGCGGAUCAUUCUGCAGCAGAUAGGGAUCCUAAAUCUGUAGAAUCUGUAAAGGAUAAGAAUGGACUUGGUGAGAUUUUGCUUCGAAACCCACCUGCCGCGAUCUGUUCAAGUUAGUUUCCUUUUGAGAUUAAGCUUUCUAUUUGACUGAAAGCUAUGUUCAUAAUCUGAAGUAUUUGAGAAACUGAGGUUAGCCUACAUGGAAGAAUGACCAUGGUGAAGAAUUACUUUUUAUAAGCAGCAAGUAAAUACCAAGAUGAAGUACGUGUUGUCAUUUGCAACUCAAGAUUUUAUCCAAUCUUUUGAUUACUGGAACCACCAACAUCAACUUGAACAAUCUCACUGUUUUGGUCUUCCAAGCAAGCUAAAGAAUAUACCUCUACAACUUUGUUCCGCAAAUACAUCUACACGUAUGAUCUACUUUAUGUUAAUAUUAAGCACAUUAUGCCAAUAUUUAGCUUUGUUAUACUAAUUCCUUUUAUUUUUUCAUAGUCUAACUAAGCAAUAAAGCUAUCAAGAAUUUCGCCCACAUCUGUCAUAAGACCGUGAUUCAUAGUUAAAAUAGGUGAAAAUUAAGACUAACCCAGGAAGCGGGCAAAACUAAAUGCGCAAAUAGAGAGCGUAAAAAUAUAUGACCAAGUAGCUUAAAAAUGAAGUGACACCAUGAGAUAUCGCUUGUUCGAGUCCUAGUGAAUAUAGAACCAUAUUUUGAUACCUAUACUAGAAAACCUCGGCUGCUGGAGCUUUAGACUCAAAUAGCUACAAGUCCUAAGGAGACAUGUGGUGAAGGGGUACCCUCAAAUGGAGAAAUUGCAGUUUUAUACCUUAUAGAAAAGGGAAUUUGCAACCCGAAUCCUUUUUAUAUUGAACUUCAUAAUUAAUUAAGCCUAUCAUUAUAUAUUGAGUCCCUUAUCUUGUUAACAUAAGGUUGCGAUGGCCAUAUUCUCACAAUGUUUAUCUAGAUUGUAAAUAGAUCCUCCAUUCGUCAAUAGCAACUAAUUAGCAAAGUCAUGUAAAUUGACCACAAAUACUUUUUUCUUGAAAUCUGGAAGAGCUAGUACGUACUGUACAUAAACUAAGAUAAACCUUUCAAAAGAUGAUUUACUAGUGAAGCUCAUCCAAUAAAUCAUUUAAUAUGGGAAUAGAAUUCUUAUCUUUCACUAUAAUCUUAUUCAACAUUAUUCUAUUGUCAACAGAAAACUUUCAUGAGCCAUCUUUACUUUUUUUAUGAAUAACUAAUAGCAAUGCUGAGAGAGGAAAUGGUGAGUGACUAUAAUGUAUUAUCGCAAUACAAAGCAUCACUUUGAUCCAUUUUUUCAUUUCUUAUUGAAUGUUUAAUUUGAUUAUCAAAAAUCAGUACAAUGUAUAACUCUAAAUUUAUUCUUAAGUUUAAAACAAAAUAAAAGUUUCUUAAUAUUAUGAAGGCUAAUUUUGUCAUUUUAGUAGUAUUUUUAAUCCAUGUACUACUGAUAUUUGAAUUUUUAUUUCAUAUUUUAUUUACAUAAGAUAAUAUGAUAAUUCUCGCGUAACUUAUGCAUAGUUGCAUAUAUUAUUAAUGAGCCAAACAAAGUAAUAACCAAAUUAUUGAAAUUAUUGCUAGAUUUUAGAUUGAGCAUUAAUCUUUGGUUCUUGCAAGCUGCUCUGAAAAGCAGUAACAAAAAGGUAAAAAAAAAAUUCUUAUUUUCUCCUGCGUUAUCUUUGUUUGUUCUUUUCUUUUUUUCCCUUUUUUUUUUGUAGGUCAAGAAAAGAAAGAUAUGUUCUUGUUCAACAAGAUGAUCCACGCAUGAAGAAGGCGGUCCUAGGGAUGGGUGCUCAUCCCUGUCCAAAUAUCGAAGAGAUUACUCUCAGUGGCCGACUAUUGGAGAGAUUACUCUCAAAAUGACUCGACUAUCAGAGAGAUUACUCUCAAUGUGGCCCGACUAUCGGAGAGAUUACUCUCAAAACGACCCAACUAUUGAAGAGAUUACUCUCAAAAUGACCCGACUAUCGGAGAGAUUACUCUCAAGGCAGCCCGACUAUCGGAUAGAUUACUCUCAGUGUGGCCCGACUAUCAGUGAGAUUACUCUCAAGGUGGCCCGACUAUCGGAGAGAUUACUCUCAAUGUGGCCCGACAUUUAUCUUAGUCAUAUAAUUUUCAGCUUUACGCGCUUGUAACGAAAGAUUCAUAUCGUGGGAGAGUCCAAAUAAUGAACCGUUUGAUUUUUCAAAAAUUAAACUUCAA
This is a non-coding RNA of Nicotiana tabacum (common tobacco), 2412 nucleotides long. The record is from RefSeq and is a predicted model, not a curated record. Lineage: Eukaryota; Viridiplantae; Streptophyta; Magnoliopsida; Solanales; Solanaceae.